RNAcentral lists this ribosomal RNA (2631 nucleotides) under Nicotiana attenuata. RNAcentral describes it as "eukaryotic LSU rRNA". The stretch from base 386 to 2045 matches the Rfam family "Eukaryotic large subunit ribosomal RNA". Lineage: Eukaryota; Viridiplantae; Streptophyta; Magnoliopsida; Solanales; Solanaceae. The record is from RNAcentral.
ACUCUCGACAACGGAUAUCUCGGCUCUCGCAUCGAUGAAGAACGUAGCGAAAUGCGAUACUUGGUGUGAAUUGCAGAAUCCCAUGAACCAUCGAGUCUUUGAACGCAAGUUGCGCCCGAAGCCAUUAGGCCGAGGGCACGUCCGCCUGGGCGUCAUGCAUCGCGUCGCCCCCGCACACCGCGCCCAUUCUCAUAGUCGCGAUGGUGUCGUGGGACAGAUAAUGGCCUCCCGUGCGCCCCGAGCGUGCGGUUGGCCUAAAUGUGAGUCCACGGCGACGGACGUCACGACAAGUGGUGGUUGAAACUCAACUCUCGUAAUUUCGCGGCUCCAACACGUAGCAUGUUUGGGCUCCCUGACCCUUAUCGCGCUUAGGCGCACCGACCGCGACCCCAGGUCAGGCGGGACUAACCGCUGAGUUUAAGCAUAUCAAUAAACGGAGGAAAAGAAACUUACAAGGAUUCCCCUAGUAACGGCGAGCGAACCGGGAACGACCCAGCCUUAGAAUCGGGCGGCUCCGCCGUCCAAAUUGUAGUUUGGAGAAGCAUCCUCAGCGGCGGACCGGGCCCGAGUCCCAUGGAAGGGGGCGUAAGAGAGGGUGAGAGCCCCAUUGUGCCCGGACCCUAUCGCACCACGAGGCGCUGUCUACGAGUCGGGUUGUUAGGGAAUGCAGCCCAAAUCGGGCGGUGAAUUCCGUCCAAGGCUAAAUACGGGCGAGAGAUCGAUAGCGAACAAGUACCGCCAGGGAAAGAUGAAAAGGACUUUGAAAAGAGAGUCAAAGAGUGCUUGAAAUUAUCCGGAGGGAAGCGGAUGGGGGACGGUGAUACGCCCCGGUUGGAUGUGGAAUGGUGUUGAGCCGAUCCGCCAUUGACUCGGGGCGUGGACCAGCGUGGAUUGGUGGGGCAUCCAAAGCCCAGGCCAUUGAUACGCCCGUGGAACGCCGUCUCUUCGAUUAUGGUAGGCAGCGCGCGCCUCUGUCGUGCUUCGGCAUCUGCGCGCUCCGGACGCUGGCCUGUAGGCUCCCCAUUCGACCCGUCUUGAAACACAGAACAAGGAGUCUGACAUGUCUACGAGUCAACGGGCGAGUAAACCCGUAAGGCGUAAGGAAGCUAAUUGGUGGGAUCCCCCUGAAGGGUGCACCGCCGACCGACCUUGAUCUUCUGUGAAGGGUUCGAGUGUGAGCAUACCUGUCGGGACCCGAAAGAUGGUGAACUAUUCCUGAGCGGGGCGAAACCAGAGGAAACUUUGGUGGAGGCCCGCAGCGAUACUAACGUGCAAAUCGUUCGUCUGACUUGGGUAUAGGGGCGAAAGACUAAUCGAACCGUCUAGUAGCUGGUUCCCUUAGAAGUUUCCCUCAAGAUAGCUGGAGCUCGCGUGCGAGUUCUAUCGGAUAAAGCCAUUGAUUAGAGGCAUCGGGGGCGCAAUGCCCUCGACCUAUUCUCAAACUUUAAAUAGGUAGUACAGCACGACUGCUUUGGUGAGCCGCGCCACGAAAUCAAGAGCUCCAAGUGGGCCAUUUUCGGUAAGCGGAACUGGCGAUGCGGGAUUAACCGGAUGCCCCCGGUGGCCCUUGAAAAUUCGGAGGACCGAGUGCCGUCUACGCCCACUUGUACUCAUAACCGCAUUAGGUCUCCAAGGUGAACAUCCUCUGGUCGAUGGAAAAAUGUAGGCAUAGGAAGUUGGCAAAAUGGAUCCGUCACUUUGGGAAAAGGAUUGGCUGUAAGGGUUGGGCAUGGGGGUCCUUGGUCCCGAACCCGUCGGCUGUCGGGGGACUGCUCGAGCUGCUACCGCGGCGAGAGCGGGUCGCUGCGUGCCGGCCAGGGACGGACUAGGAACGGUUCCUUUGGGGAAUCUGACUGUUUAAUUAAAACAAAGCAUUGCGAUCCCUACGGAUGUUUAUGCAAUGUGAUUUCUGCCAGUGCUCUGAUUGUCAAAGUGAAGAAAUUCAACCAAGCGCGAGUAAAUAGCGGGAGUGACUAGAAGCGACGCAUGCGCCCGCCGUCCGCUUGCCGACCCGCAGUAGGGGCCUCUGGCCCCCAAGGGCACGUGUCGUUGGCUAAGCGUCCCCCUCCAAACCAAUUAAUUUCUAANCUACGACGUCUUGACUUGUCCUGCGAUGCCCUGACACGUGCCAUGGCUAUAUUAUACUAAGUGUUGGAAAAUCGAACAAGUCCUCAAGACCUUGGAACGUAUACUAUUUGUGUAUUGAGCGGCCAGUGUGACUUGACACUUAGUCAUGUCGAGGGAAAGGCUAAACCAAAUGUCGUGAGUAGAGGUUUAUCGGGGCAUCGCUUAUGUCGCCGAGGCCUAUGUCAAUGGCGGUGUGCCAAUACAAUGUCGCAAGUAGAGGUUUAUCGGGGCAUCGCUUGCAUCGCCGAGGCCUAUGCCGAGGGCGAUGUGCCAAUACAAUGUCAUAAGUAGAGGUUUAUCGGGGCGUCGCUUGCGUCGCCGAGGCCUAUGCCGAGGGCGAUGUGCCGAUAUAAUGUCGCAAGUACAGGUUUAUCGGGGCGUCGCUUGUGUAACCGCAAUGUCGCAAGUAGUUUAUCGGGGCGUCGCUUGCAUCGCCGAGGCCUAUGCUGAGGGCGAUGUGCCGAUACAAUGUCGCAAGUAGAGAUUUAUCGGGGCGUCGCUUGU